This 492-nucleotide ribosomal RNA is filed under the name uncultured bacterium. Its description in RNAcentral is "partial 16S ribosomal RNA". It matches the Rfam family "Bacterial small subunit ribosomal RNA", at positions 29 to 507 of the family's 1533-position model. The record is from RNAcentral.
AGUGAACGGUGGCGGUAGGCCUAACACAUGCAAGUCGAACGGCAGCACAGUAAGAGCUUGCUCUUACGGGUGGCGAGUGGCGGACGGGUGAGGAAUACAUCGGAAUCUACUUUUUCGUGGGGGAUAACGUAGGGAAACUUACGCUAAUACCGCAUACGACCUACGGGUGAAAGCAGGGGAUCUUCGGACCUUGCGCGAUUGAAUGAGCCGAUGUCGGAUUAGCUAGUUGGCGGGGUAAAGGCCCACCAAGGCGACGAUCCGUAGCUGGUCUGAGAGGAUGAUCAGCCACACUGGAACUGAGACACGGUCCAGACUCCUACGGGAGGCAGCGGUGGGGAAUAUUGGACAAUGGGCGCAAGCCUGAUCCAGCCAUACCGCGUGGGUGAAGAAGGCCUUCGGGUUGUAAAGCCCUUUUGUUGGGAAAGAAAAGCAGCAGGUUAAUACCCCGCUGUUCUGACGGUACCCAAAGAAUAAGCACCGGCUAACUUCGUG